This 1343-nucleotide ribosomal RNA is filed under the name uncultured bacterium. RNAcentral's name for it is "16S ribosomal RNA". It matches the Rfam family "Bacterial small subunit ribosomal RNA", at positions 28 to 1378 of the family's 1533-position model. The record is from RNAcentral.
GACGAACGCUGGCGGCGUGCUUAACACAUGCAAGUCGAACGGAAAGGCCCUGCUUUUGUGGGGUGCUCGAGUGGCGAACGGGUGAGUAACACGUGAGUAACCUGCCCUUGACUUUGGGAUAACUUCAGGAAACUGGGGCUAAUACCGGAUAGGAGCUCCUGCUGCAUGGUGGGGGUUGGAAAGUUUCGGCGGUUGGGGAUGGACUCGCGGCUUAUCAGCUUGUUGGUGGGGUAGUGGCUUACCAAGGCUUUGACGGGUAGCCGGCCUGAGAGGGUGACCGACCACAUUGGGACUGAGAUACGGCCCAGACUCCUACGGGAGGCAGCAGUGGGGAAUAUUGCACAAUGGGCGGAAGCCUGAUGCAGCAACGCCGCGUGCGGGAUGACGGCCUUCGGGUUGUAAACCGCUUUCGCCUGUGACGAAGCGUGAGUGACGGUAAUGGGUAAAGAAGCACCGGCUAACUACGUGCCAGCAGCCGCGGUGAUACGUAGGGUGCGAGCGUUGUCCGGAUUUAUUGGGCGUAAAGGGCUCGUAGGUGGUUGAUCGCGUCGGAAGUGUAAUCUUGGGGCUUAACCCUGAGCGUGCUUUCGAUACGGGUUGACUUGAGGAAGGUAGGGGAGAAUGGAAUUCCUGGUGGAGCGGUGGAAUGCGCAGAUAUCAGGAGGAACACCAGUGGCGAAGGCGGUUCUCUGGGCCUUUCCUGACGCUGAGGAGCGAAAGCGUGGGGAGCGAACAGGCUUAGAUACCCUGGUAGUCCACGCUGUAAACGGUGGGUACUAGGUGUGGGGUCCAUUCCACGGGUUCCGUGCCGUAGCUAACGCUUUAAGUACCCCGCCUGGGGAGUACGGCCGCAAGGCUAAAACUCAAAGGAAUUGACGGGGCCCCGCACAAGCGGCGGAGCAUGCGGAUUAAUUCGAUGCAACGCGUAGAACCUUACCUGGGUUUGACAUGGAUCGGGAGUGCUCAGAGAUGGGUGUGCCUCUUUUGGGGUCGGUUCACAGGUGGUGCAUGGCUGUCGUCAGCUCGUGUCGUGAGAUGCUGGGUUAAGUCCCGCAACGAGCGCAACCCUUGUUCACUGUUGCCAGCACGUUAUGGUGGGGACUCAGUGGAGACCGCCGGGGUCAACUCGGAGGAAGGUGGGGAUGACGUCAAGUCAUCAUGCCCCUUAUGUCCAGGGCUUCACGCAUGCUACAAUGGCUGGUACAGAGAGUGGCGAGCCUGUGAGGGUGAGCGAAUCUCGGAAAGCCGGUCUCAGUUCGGAUUGGGGUCUGCAACUCGACCUCAUGAAGUCGGAGUCGCUAGUAAUCGCAGAUCAGCAACGCUGCGGUGAAUACGUUCCCGGG